This 492-nucleotide ribosomal RNA is filed under the name uncultured bacterium. RNAcentral's name for it is "partial 16S ribosomal RNA". It matches the Rfam family "Bacterial small subunit ribosomal RNA", at positions 29 to 507 of the family's 1533-position model. The record is from RNAcentral.
AGUGAACGCUGGCGGUAGGCCUAACACAUGCAAGUCGAACGGCAGCACAGUAAGAGCUUGCUCUUACGGGUGGCGAGUGGCGGACGGGUGAGGAAUACAUCGGAAUCUACUUUUUCGUGGGGGAUAACGUAGGGAAACUUACGCUAAUACCGCAUACGACCUACGGGUGAAAGCAGGGGAUCUUCGGACCUUGCGCGAUUGAAUGAGCCGAUGUCGGAUUAGCUAGUUGGCGGGGUAAAGGCCCACCAAGGCGACGAUCCGUAGCUGGUCUGAGAGGAUGAUCAGCCACACUGGAACGGAGACACGGUCCAGACUCCUACGGGAGGCAGCAGUGGGGAAUAUUGGACAAGGGGCGCAAGCCUGAUCCAGCCAUACCGCGUGGGUGAAGAAGGCCUUGGGGUUGUAAAGCCUUUUUGUUGGGAAAGAAAAGCAGCAGGUUAAUCCCCCGCUGUCCGGAGGGUACCAAAAGAAUAAGCCCCGGCUAACUUCGUG